This 465-nucleotide ribosomal RNA is filed under the name uncultured bacterium. RNAcentral's name for it is "partial 16S ribosomal RNA". It matches the Rfam family "Bacterial small subunit ribosomal RNA", at positions 28 to 507 of the family's 1533-position model. The record is from RNAcentral.
GACGAACGCUGGCGGCGUGCUUAACACAUGCAAGUCGAACGGAAAAGCCCCCUUGUGGGGUAAUCGAGAGGCGCACGGGUGGGUAACACGAGAGUAACCUACCCUGGACUUUGGGGUAACUUCAGAAAACGGGGGCUAUUACAGGAUAGGAGAUCAUGCUGCAUCAUGGGGGUUGGGAAGGAUCGGCGGUUUGGGAUGAACUCGCGGCUUAUCAGCGUGUUGGUGGGGUAGUGGCUCACCAAGGCCUCGACGGGGAGCCGGCCUGAGAGUGUGACCGGCCACAUUGGGAUUGAGAUACGGCCCGGACUCCUACGGGAGGAAGCAGUGGGGAUUAUUGCACAAUGGGCGGAAUGCUGAUGCAGCAACUCCGCGUGCUGGAUGACGGCCUUCGGGUUGUAACCCGCUUUCGCCUGUGAAGAUGCGUGAGUGACGGUAAUGGGUAAAGAAGCAACGGCUAACUACGUG